RNAcentral lists this ribosomal RNA (467 nucleotides) under uncultured bacterium. RNAcentral describes it as "partial 16S ribosomal RNA". It matches the Rfam family "Bacterial small subunit ribosomal RNA", at positions 28 to 507 of the family's 1533-position model. The record is from RNAcentral.
GACGAACGCUGGCGGCGUGCUUAACACAUGCAAGUCGAACGGAAAGGCCCUGCUUUUGUGGGGUGCUCGAGUGGCGAACGGGUGAGUAACACGUGAGUAACCUGCCCUUGACUUUGGGAUAACUUCAGGAAACUGGGGCUAAUACCGGAUAGGAGCUCCUGCUGCAUGGUGGGGGUUGGAAAGUUUCGGCGGUUGGGGAUGGACUCGCGGCUUAUCAGCUUGUUGGUGGGGUAGUGGCUUACCAAGGCUUUGACGGGUAGCCGGCCUGAGAGGGUGACCGGCCACAGUGGGACUGAGAAACGGCCCAGACGCAUACGGGAGGCAGGAGUGGGGAAUAUAGCACAAUGGGCGGAAGCCGGAUGCAGCAACGCCGCGUGCGGGAUGACGGCCUUCGGGUUGUAAACCGCUUUGGCCUGUGACGAAGCGUGAGUGACGGUAAUGGGUAAGAAGCACCGGCUAACUACGUG